This 468-nucleotide ribosomal RNA is filed under the name uncultured bacterium. RNAcentral describes it as "partial 16S ribosomal RNA". It matches the Rfam family "Bacterial small subunit ribosomal RNA", at positions 28 to 507 of the family's 1533-position model. The record is from RNAcentral.
GAUGAACGCUGGCGGCGUGCUUAACACAUGCAAGUCGAACGGAAAGGCCGAGGCUUGCUUCGGUACUCGAGUGGCGAACGGGUGAGUAACACGUGGGUGAUCUGCCCUGUACUUCGGGAUAAGCUUGGGAAACUGGGUCUAAUACCGGAUAUGACGAUCUCUUGGAUGGGGUUGUGGAAAGCUUUUGCGGUGUGGGAUGAGCUCGCGGCGUAUCUGCUUGUUGGUGGGGUGAUGUCGUAUCAAGACGUCGACGGGUAGCCGGCCUGAGAGGGUGUACGGGCACACUGGGAGUGAGAGACGGGCCAGAGUCCUACGGGGGGCAGCAGUGGGGAAUAUUGCACAAUGGGCGCAGGCCUGAGGCGGCGACGCCGCGUGGGGGAUAACGGCCUUCGGGUUGUAAAAACCGUUCGCAAUCGACGAAGCCUUUUGGUGACGGUAGGUGGAGAAGAAGCACCGGCUAACUACGUG